GAUGAACGCUGGCGGCGUGCCUAAUACAUGCAAGUCGAGCGAACGGACGAGAAGCUUGCUUCUCUGAUGUUAGCGGCGGACGGGUGAGUAACAUGUGGAUAACCUACCUAUAAGACUGGGAUAACUUCGGGAAACCGGAGCUAAUACCGGAUGAUAUUUUGAACCGCAUGGUUCAAAAGUGAAAGACGGUCUUGCUGUCACUUAUAGAUGGAUCCGCGCUGCAUUAGCUAGUUGGUAAGGUAACGGCUUACCAAGGCUACGAUGCAUAGCCGACCUGAGAGGGUGAUGGGCCACACUGGAACUGAGACAUGGUGCAGGCUCAUAAGCGACGCAGCAGUAGGGAAUCUUCCACAAAGGGGGAACGCAUAACGGUACUGCACCGAGUGAUUGAUGAAGGUCUUCGGAUCGUAAACAUCUGUUAUUAGGGAAGAACAUUUGUGUAGGUGACUGUGCACAUCUUGCCGGUACCUAAUCAAAAAGCCACGGCUAACUACGUG
RNAcentral lists this ribosomal RNA (497 nucleotides) under uncultured bacterium. RNAcentral describes it as "partial 16S ribosomal RNA". It matches the Rfam family "Bacterial small subunit ribosomal RNA", at positions 28 to 507 of the family's 1533-position model. The record is from RNAcentral.